RNAcentral lists this transfer RNA (72 nucleotides) under Ictidomys tridecemlineatus (thirteen-lined ground squirrel). Its description in RNAcentral is "Spermophilus tridecemlineatus (thirteen-lined ground squirrel) tRNA". It matches the Rfam family "tRNA". Rfam says of the family: Transfer RNA (tRNA) molecules are approximately 80 nucleotides in length. Their secondary structure includes four short double-helical elements and three loops (D, anti-codon, and T loops). Lineage: Eukaryota; Metazoa; Chordata; Mammalia; Rodentia; Sciuridae. The record is from Rfam by way of RNAcentral.
UUUGCUGUGGCUCAGUGGUAGAGUGCUCACCUAGCAUGUGUGAGGCACUGGGUUCAAUUCCCAGCACCACAU